This 253-nucleotide ribosomal RNA is filed under the name uncultured bacterium. Its description in RNAcentral is "partial 16S ribosomal RNA". It matches the Rfam family "Bacterial small subunit ribosomal RNA", at positions 524 to 776 of the family's 1533-position model. The record is from RNAcentral.
UACAGAGGUCUCAAGCGUUGUUCGGAUUCAUUGGGCGUAAAGGGUGCGUAGGUGGUUGGGUAAGUCAAAUGUGAAAUCCCGGAGCUCAACUCCGGAACUGCAUUCGAUACUGCCCGGCUAGAGGAUUGGAGAGGAGACUGGAAUUCACGGUGUAGCAGUGAAAUGCGUAGAUAUCGUGAGGAACACCCGUGGCGAAGGCGGGUCUCUGGACAAUUCCUGACACUGAGGCACGAAGGACAGGGGAGCAAACGGG